GGGCCCUCGAAAUCCUGUGGCGAGAGGAUUCAGUCUGGGGCGUCGGCCGUGCAGAUCGGAAAUCCCGGUAGGGCUUCCCCGAGCGGGGGCCGUCCGGUCGCACGCAGCGCCGUCGCACCCGACGCAUUUGUCUCUCGUCCGAAGGACGCCGCAGCCGGCUGGGUAGUGCAAGCGCGACGACCUGAGGGGCGGAAGAUGGCAGGUGGCCGCUGGCGUGCCUCGUGCGCGUCGGCGGUUGUUAGCCGUUCCGUCAGUGGUCCGUCACCCGGCCGAGGUGUCGCGAGGCCCUUCGGGGCCUCAUCGUCUCCUCCCCAGAGAUGCGGGUCGGAGCGUCGCAGGUGGAAUCCGUCGUCCCGUUCGCACCCCUCCGGGGUGGUCGGGCGAACGGAGGCCUCCGUUGGUGGCGCCGGACCCGUUGGAGGCCGGAGGCUUGCGGCGAGUAGGUCGGUCACCCACCCGACCCGUCUUGAAACACGGACCAANNNNNNNNNNNNNNNNNNNNNNNNNNNNNNNNNNNNACUUUAAAUGGGUGAGAAGUCCGCCUUGCUUGAUCGAAGGCCGGACGUUCCGGAUGAGAGUGCCCAGUGGGCCACUUUUGGUAAGCAGAACUGGCGCUGUGGGAUGAACCAAACGCCGGGUUACGGCGCCCGAUGCGAGACGCUCAUGAGACCCCAUGAAAGGUGUUGGUUGCUCCAGACAGCAGGACGGUGGUCAUGGAAGUCGAAAUCCGCUAAGGAGUGUGUAACAACUCACCUGCCGAAGCAACUAGCCCUGAAAAUGGAUGGCGCUCCAGCGUCGAGCCCAUACCCGGCCGCCGCGGCAGAGCUCCGUCACGGAGGUUUACGCCGCGGUGAGUAGGAGGGUCGCGGCGGGGAGCGUUGAAGGUGCCGGGCGUGAGCCCGCCUGGAGCCCCCGUCGGUGCAGAUCUUGGUGGUAGUAGCAAAUACUCAAGUGAGAACCUUGAGGACUGAAGUUGGAGAAGGGUUCCAUGUGAACAGCAGUUGAACAUGGGUCAGUCGGCCCUAAGGGAUCGGAGAAAUCCGUUCCGAAGCGGGACCUUACACUCAGUACAGCAGUCCCGCUGCCGACCGAAAGGGAAUGGGGUCAAUAUUCCCCAACCCGGACACGGAGAUAGGGCUCUCGGGCCCAAGUGCGGUAACGCAACCGAACUCGGAGAAGUCGACGGAGGACCCGGGGAAGAGUUGUCUUUUCUUUGUAAGGGUUCGUGUCCCUGGAAUCGGCUCGUCCGGAGAUAGGGACGCUGUCCCCGUAAAAGCACCGCGGCUCUUGCGGUGUCCGGUCCGCCUCUGUCGGCCCUUGCAAAUCCGAGGGAGAUGGUGUGAUUUUCGUGCCGGACCGUACCCAUAUCCGCAGCAG
This 1377-nucleotide ribosomal RNA is filed under the name Coras juvenilis. RNAcentral's name for it is "partial 28S ribosomal RNA". The stretch from base 385 to 1377 matches the Rfam family "Eukaryotic large subunit ribosomal RNA", at positions 665 to 1862 of the family's 3401-position model. The record is from RNAcentral. Lineage: Eukaryota; Metazoa; Arthropoda; Arachnida; Araneae; Agelenidae.